CUCAAUUGAAGAGAAUGAAUUAAAAGUUGUGUGAAUGAACUUAACAUGACUUGUUUUAGCAAUUGGUGUUGAUUUGCCCAAAUCAUUGAGAGAAAGAAAAUUCAGCAAAAGGCAAAGACCUCAAAAGCACAAAUCAUAAAACUGUUCCGAUGGUCUAGACUAUGAACUGAGCCCAAAAGCCACCUGAACAAGUGACUAACUGAGUAAUCGGGGGUGUAUCACCCAUGUACACAAUCGCGUAAAAAGGUUAGUGACUUUUUCAAGCAAAAAUAAGUUUCGAUGGUCUAGACUAUGAACAGAGCUAGUAGCCACUUGAAUAAGUGACUAACUAAGUAACCGGGGGUGUAUCACCCAUGUACACAAUCGCGUAAAAAGGUUAGUGACUUUU
Molecule: long non-coding RNA, 388 nt
Filed under: Manihot esculenta (cassava)
Lineage: Eukaryota; Viridiplantae; Streptophyta; Magnoliopsida; Malpighiales; Euphorbiaceae
Description: long non-coding RNA (MESC_LNC007722)
Source: RNAcentral